AUGGAAGAAUUCCCGGGGUGGUGUGCAGAAGCAAGUCUGGUGCCUAGGCCCAUUCAAUGGUCCAGUAAGCCUGUUUUUUUUUUUAAUCUUCCCAAGCUGCCUCCAAAAAUGACGCUCCAUGGGCUCUCCAACAACGUCAAAAUCACGCAUAAAACUAUAAGAUUAUUCAGGUUGGUGAUGAAGAAGGAAAGAGAAGAUUGGAGGUGGUGGAGAAGAUGA
Vicia faba (fava bean) is the source of this 219-nucleotide non-coding RNA. The record is from the annotation of a GenBank genome assembly. Lineage: Eukaryota; Viridiplantae; Streptophyta; Magnoliopsida; Fabales; Fabaceae.